RNAcentral lists this ribosomal RNA (275 nucleotides) under uncultured bacterium. RNAcentral's name for it is "partial 16S ribosomal RNA". It matches the Rfam family "Bacterial small subunit ribosomal RNA", at positions 338 to 611 of the family's 1533-position model. The record is from RNAcentral.
CCUACGGGUGGCUGCAGUAGGGAAUAUUGGACAAUGGAGGGAACUCUGAUCCAGCCAUGCCGCGUGCAGGAAGAAGGCGUUAUGCGUUGUAAACUGCUUUUGACAGGGAAUAAAAAGGCUAUGCGUAGCAAAUUGAAUGUACCUGUAGAAUAAGCCACGGCUAACUACGUGCCAGCAGCCGCGGUAAUACGUAGGUGGCAAGCGUUAUCCGGAUUUAUUGGGUUUAAAGGGAGCGUAGGCGGUUUUGUAAGUCAGCGGUGAAAGUCAGUCGCUCA